CCUACGGGAGGCAGCAGUGGGGAAUAUUGGGCAAUGGGCGAAAGCCUGACCCAGCAACGCCGCGUGAAGGAAGAAGGCUUUCGGGUUGUAAACUUCUUUUGACAGGGAAGAGCAGAAGACGGUACCUGUCGAAUAAGCCACGGCUAACUACGUGCCAGCAGCCGCGGUAAUACGUAGGUGGCAAGCGUUGUCCGGAUUUACUGGGUGUAAAGGGCGUGUAGCCGGGCUUACAAGUCAGAUGUGAAAUCCGGGGGCUUAACCCCCGAACUGCAUUUGAAACUGUUGGUCUUGAGUAUCGGAGAGGCAGGCGGAAUUCCUAGUGUAGCGGUGAAAUGCGUAGAGAUUAGGAGGAACACCAGUGGCGAAGGCAGCCUGCUGGACGACAACUGACGGUGAGGCGCGAAAGCGGGGGGAGCAAACAGGAUUAGAUACCCGGGUAGUC
RNAcentral lists this ribosomal RNA (442 nucleotides) under uncultured bacterium. Its description in RNAcentral is "partial 16S ribosomal RNA". It matches the Rfam family "Bacterial small subunit ribosomal RNA", at positions 338 to 795 of the family's 1533-position model. The record is from RNAcentral.